Molecule: long non-coding RNA, 1675 nt
Filed under: Oncorhynchus kisutch (coho salmon)
Lineage: Eukaryota; Metazoa; Chordata; Actinopteri; Salmoniformes; Salmonidae
Description: lncRNA (ENSOKIG00005041183.1)
Source: RNAcentral
ACAGGUUUGUUGUAUUUUACAGACCAGGAGGAACAGGUUUAUUGUAUUUUACAGACCAGGAGGAACAGGUUUAUUGUAUUUUACAGACUAGACCAGGAGGAACAGGUUUAUUGUAUUUUACAGACUAGGCCAGGAGGAACAGGUUUAUUGUAUUUUACAGACCAGGUUUAUUGUAUUUUACAGACUAGGAGGAACAGGUUUAUUGUAUUUUACAGACUAGACCAGGAGGAACAAGUGUAUUGUAUUUUACAGACUAGACCAGGAGCAACAGGUUUAUUGUAUUUUACAGACCAGGAGGAACAGGUUUAUUGUAUUUUACAGACUAGACCAGGAGGAACAGGUUUAUUGUAUUUUACAGACCAGGAGGAACAAGAGACUGACCUGAACAGGUUUAUUGUAUUUUACAGACUAGGAGGAACAGGUUUAUUGUAUUUUACAGACCAGGAGGAACAGGUUUAUUGUAUUUUACAGACUAGACCAGGAGGAACAGGUUUAUUGUAUUUUACAGACCAGGAGGAACAAGAGACUGACCUGAACAGGUUUAUUGUAUUUAACAGACCAGGAGCAACAGGUUUAUUGUAUUUUACAGACCAGAAGGAACAGGUUUAUUGUAUUUUACAGACUAGACCAGGAGGAACAAGAGACUGACCUGAACAGGUUUGUUGUAUUUUUACAAAACUAGAACAUACUGAAAUUGUGUGUAAUCUACAAAAGGCAACACAGAUCGGUCAGACCAGAUCUCACCACCUCCUCCUCCUCCUCCUCUGGGGGGAAAAAGCUGUGAAAGGAUCCAACACAGCAACAUCACAGCUCAAGAGUUCUAUUUCAAUUCAUUGAAGGUUGAGUCUGAAGCCAGUAAAAUGGGGUAUUCAGGAUGAACAACAGGUCAGACCCUUGGUUAGAAUGUAUACUAGUCUCUUCACUCACAUACAAGAAGGUCUGAAGAUCGGAUAUCGUUCCAAUAUGUUGAUCGAAACCUGGGUCGAAUCGUUCAACGUUUGAGUCCAUGGAUGAACCAAAAUCAAGGCUUCAGAUAAACCACAGUUGGCUCCGUUACACACUUCCUCUACCCUCCCUGAAGCACAUGAAGCAAUCUGACAGAAUUGUAUGGAUAGAAGUACCAAUCCCAGCUUGGGUCCCAAAAGUGUCCCGGGGUUAAAGGUUAAUCCAACAGAAGGAUUUGAUCAAAGCGUCAGAAGCACUGUCCAAUCUAGAAACAGGUCUGUCUGUCCGUUCUAGAAACAGGUCUGUCUGUCCGUUCUAGAAACAGGUCUGUCUGUCCGUUCUAGAAACAGGUCUGUCUGUCCGUUCUAGAAACAGGUCUGUCUGUCCGAUCUAGAAACAGGUCUGUCUGUCCGAUCUAGAAACAGGUCUGUCUGUCCGAUCUAGAAACAGGUCUGUCGGUCCGAUCUAGAAACAGGUCUGUCUGUCCGUUCUAGAAACAGGUCUGUCUGUCCGUUCUAGAAACAGGUCUGUCGGUCCGUUCUAGAAACAGGUCUGUCGGUCCGUUCUAGAAACAGGUCUGUCUGUCUGUCCGAUCUAGAAACAGGUCUGUCUGUCCAGAGGUCCAGGGUUCCUGACGACUCAGCGAAGGACUUGGAAGUUUUCAAAAUAGCAUCUCAAUCUACAGACGUUGUGCUCUGCUCUCCGCUGUCUUCCAGCUGAACGGAGUCCA